This 245-nucleotide ribosomal RNA is filed under the name uncultured Actinomycetales bacterium. Its description in RNAcentral is "partial 16S ribosomal RNA". It matches the Rfam family "Bacterial small subunit ribosomal RNA", at positions 86 to 334 of the family's 1533-position model. Lineage: Bacteria; Bacillati; Actinomycetota; Actinomycetes; Actinomycetales. The record is from RNAcentral.
AGUACUCGAGUGGCGAACGGGUGAGUAACACGUGGGUGAACUGCCCUGCACUUCGGGAUAAGCCUGGGAAACUGGGUCUAAUACCGGAUAGGAGCCAUUUUUAGUGUGAUGGUUGGAAAGUUUUUUCGGUGUAGGAUGAGCUCGCGGCCUAUCAGCUUGUUGGUGGGGUAAUGGCCUACCAAGGCGGCGACGGGUAGCCGGCCUGAGAGGGUGGACGGCCACAUUGGGACUGAGAUACGGCCCAG